UACGGAGGGUGCAAGCGUUAUCCGGAUUUACUGGGCUUAAAGGGCGCGCAGGCGGCUAUGUAAGUCAGUGGUGAAAUCUCUGGGCUUAACCCGGAAAUUGCCAUUGAUACUAUAUAUCUUGAAUGCUGUGGAGGUAAGCGGAAUAUGUCAUGUAGCGGUGAAAUGCUUAGAGAUGACAUAGAACACCUAUUGCGAAGGCAGCUUACUACGCAGAGAUUGACGCUCAUGCACGAAAGCGUGGGGAUCAAACAGG
Molecule: ribosomal RNA, 253 nt
Filed under: uncultured bacterium
Lineage: Bacteria
Description: partial 16S ribosomal RNA
Rfam family: Bacterial small subunit ribosomal RNA
Source: RNAcentral